GAGUUUGAUCAUGGCUCAGAUUGAACGCUGGCGGCAUGCCUUACACAUGCAAGUCGAACGGCAGCACGGGAGCUUGCUCCUGGGUGGCGAGUGGCGAACGGGUGAGUAAUGCAUCGGAACGUAUCCUGGAGUGGGGGAUAACGUAGCGAAAGUUACGCUAAUACCGCAUAUUCUGUGAGCAGGAAAGCGGGGGACCUUCGGGCCUCGCGCUCUUGGAGCGGCCGAUGUCGGAUUAGCUAGUUGGUGAGGUAAAGGCUCACCAAGGCGACGAUCCGUAGCAGGUCUGAGAGGAUGAUCUGCCACACUGGAACUGAGACACGGUCCAGACUCCUACGGAGGCAGCAGUGGGGAAUUUUGGACAAUGGGGGCAACCCUGAUCCAGCCAUGCCGCGUGAGUGAAGAAGGCCUCGGUUGUAAGUA
This 420-nucleotide ribosomal RNA is filed under the name bacterium enrichment culture clone ALO1_GLFRUDD03FNYX9. RNAcentral describes it as "bacterial SSU rRNA". It matches the Rfam family "Bacterial small subunit ribosomal RNA", at positions 9 to 430 of the family's 1533-position model. The record is from RNAcentral.